Molecule: ribosomal RNA, 673 nt
Filed under: uncultured bacterium
Lineage: Bacteria
Description: bacterial SSU rRNA
Rfam family: Bacterial small subunit ribosomal RNA
Source: RNAcentral
UACUCUUGGCCAGCCUUCUGAAAGGAAGAUUAAUCCAGGAUGGGAUCAUGAGUUCACAUGUCCGCAUGAUUAAAGGUAUUUUCCGGUAGACGAUGGGGAUGCGUUCCAUUAGAUAGUAGGCGGGGUAACGGCCCACCUAGUCAACGAUGGAUAGGGGUUCUGAGAGGAAGGUCCCCCACAUUGGAACUGAGACACGGUCCAAACUCCUACGGGAGGCAGCAGUGAGGAAUAUUGGUCAAUGGGCGAUGGCCUGAACCAGCCAAGUAGCGUGAAGGAUGACUGCCCUAUGGGUUGUAAACUUCUUUUAUAAAGGAAUAAAGUCGGGUAUGCAUACCCGUUUGCAUGUACUUUAUGAAUAAGGAUCGGCUAACUCCGUGCCAGCAGCCGCGGUAAUACGGAGGAUCCGAGCGUUAUCCGGAUUUAUUGGGUUUAAAGGGAGCGUAGAUGGAUGUUUAAGUCAGUUGUGAAAGUUUGCGGCUCAACCGUAAAAUUGCAGUUGAUACUGGAUGUCUUGAGUGCAGUUGAGGCAGGCGGAAUUCGUGGUGUAGCGGUGAAAUGCUUAGAUAUCACGAAGAACUCCGAUUGCGAAGGCAGCCUGCUAAGCUGCAACUGACAUUGAGGCUCGAAAGUGUGGGUAUCAAACAGGAUUAGAUACCCUGGUAGUCCACACGGU